GAUGAAGAACGCAGCGAAAUGCGAUAAGUAAUGUGAAUUGCAGAAUUCAGUGAAUCAUCGAAUCUUUGAACGCACAUUGCGCCCCCCGGCAUUCCGGGGAGCAUGCCUGUUCGAGCGUCUCCUGGAAUACCCCUCACGCCGGCGGAGGCGUGGUCAUGGCGGCGGUGGCGUGCCCCGAGAGGGAGGCCACCGCGCUGGAAUCCAUGGGCGGACGCCUGCCGCGUGGCCGAGCGUGAUAAGACGCACUGGCGCUCGCGCGCGGCGAGGCUGCCGGCCCUGGCCCGCUCGUCGGGCGGGGACAGCAACACUUGGGAACUCCUCGAAUCAGGUAGGGAUACCCGCUGAACUUAAGCAUAUCAAUAAGCGGAGGA
Molecule: unclassified non-coding RNA, 371 nt
Filed under: soil metagenome
Description: partial contains 5.8S ribosomal RNA, internal transcribed spacer 2, and large subunit ribosomal RNA
Rfam family: 5.8S ribosomal RNA (bases 1-120)
Source: RNAcentral